GACAGAGGGUGCAAACGUUGUUCGGAAUUACUGGGCGUGAAGCGCGUGUAGGCGGCUAUGUAAGUCGGGCGUGAAAUCCCACGGCUCAACCGUGGAAGUGCACCCGAAACUGCGUAGCUAGAGUCCUGGAGAGGAAGGUGGAAUGCUUGGUGUAGAGGUGAAAUUCGUAGAUAUCAAGCGGAACACCGGUGGCGAAGGCGGCCUUCUGGACAGUGACUGACGCUGAGACGCGAAAGCGUGGGGAGCAAACAGG
RNAcentral lists this ribosomal RNA (253 nucleotides) under uncultured bacterium. RNAcentral's name for it is "partial 16S ribosomal RNA". It matches the Rfam family "Bacterial small subunit ribosomal RNA", at positions 524 to 776 of the family's 1533-position model. The record is from RNAcentral.